GUUUGUUGAAAACAUGGGAUCGUUUAUAUAAAUCAAAUCCGUUCGUGUUGAGUAAGUAAAUUCCACCAUUUUCCUAUUUUCACUAAAAAUUCACGAAAUAAACCAAUCACUGUUCGUUGUUCAAUUGAUUUCAAUCCUUCAAAUGAACUAUUCUAUCCUAAAUCAUAUAUAUCUAUAUACCUAUAUAUAAUGAAAGAAUAAACACUUUCACCUACAUGUAGAUACAUAGGUAUAUGUUUAUUUAAAUUCUAAUAAACAUAGAAUUGGAUAUUAAUUUUCUUUUUCUUACUUUGAAACUGAUGUGCAUUUAUUCAAAUAUCGAAAUUAGGUCGAGGUCAUUAUUUUAGUAGAAGUGAUAAAGAUGAAGAAUAAGAAGAAAAAUUCUCUGUAUUUGUUUCUGCAGAGGUGGCUGUGUUUGAAGCUACACAAUAUUCUCCGGAGAGGAAUUUCAAUAUAAAGAGGAGGUAGUCAAAAAUUCGUUUAGCUUUUGAGAGAUAAGGCCAGUUCCAUCCCUCAAAAAAUAAAAAUUGUUUCCAUAAUUAAUGUUUAGUAUUAACCGAUUUUUAUAAUAUCUACCGAUUUGCUAAUUGCGGAUGUUAAGCUAAACGGGAUAUAUGUUUGGCAACAUUGCAAAAUUUCGACGGUAAUGAUAGAGAAAUCAAGAAUUUCAGUUUUCUAGUAAAAUGUUCUGUGCUUUUGUGGUGCCACAGUCAAAAUAAUAAUAAUAAUAAUAAUAAAUAUAUAAAAUAAAAUUAUUAUUAUAAACAAUCAUUGAUCGAUAAUUCAUGAUCUGAAUAUUCUAAAUCCAUAUUUCAAUUUAGAAUUUUCUAAAAAACUAAACACAAACACACAAUGUGACAUAAUCAGGUUAUGUCCAUAGAGAAAAAAUAAUGUUUAUGGUUGUCUUGAGUCGCAUACAUUUUGACGUUUUGAGUUGCGCAGAUCCCUGUUUAAAACUAAUCACGAGAUUGGUUAGAUUUUCUUUAGGGUGGGGGUAACGGUUCGUGGGAGAGGGGGUGGUCCUGGAGCCCCCAGAUUCUGGACACUGCAGAGAGGUAUUCAAAAGCUUACCUGAAGUUAUUUGAUCAGUUGAACAUAAAAGAGGUAAUUGUGUGGUUGUACUGAUUGUACAGUUUACAAGCCAAUAAUAAAAUUUGAAAAUGUUGGAGUUAGCUGUGUUAGCUGGUAUAUCCGGAGGAUUAUUGAUCUACGAUUUUUUAAUGAAAGAAUUCUUCUUUUCUGAUGAAGGCGAAAAUGUUAGAUCAGAAGAAAAAUCAGAACGGAAGACAGUAUUGAAAAUUGAAUACCGAGAUGGUGACAAAAUCAGGAUUGAAAAUAAUUGUGGAAUAUGUAUGGAUAAUUUGAGUGGCAUAGUACUGACAACGGAUUGUAAGCAUGAGUUUCAUUUUAAAUGCUUCUCUGAUUGGUUUAAUCAGAAAAACACAUGUCCUUUCUGCAGAAGUGUUGUCACUAUGACGUAAUUUAUGAUAAAUUUUAUUUUCUGAAAUUAUUGAGGAAAUCUCAUCUUGUAAAUACCGUUUGUAAAUAUGUAAUCUAUAUUUUGUAUGGAAUUUUAGUUGAAGUAAAUAAUUUAAUAUA
This is a long non-coding RNA of Harmonia axyridis, 1599 nucleotides long. RefSeq lists it as uncharacterized. The record is from RefSeq and is a predicted model, not a curated record. NCBI's taxonomy places the organism in Eukaryota, Metazoa, Arthropoda, Insecta, Coleoptera, Coccinellidae. The transcript has 2 exons.